Non-coding RNA from Dryococelus australis, 73 nucleotides. The record is from the annotation of a GenBank genome assembly. Lineage: Eukaryota; Metazoa; Arthropoda; Insecta; Phasmatodea; Phasmatidae.
GUUUCCGUAGUGUAGCGGUUAUCACGUGUGCCUCACACGCACAAGGUCUCCGGUUCGAUCCCGGGCGGAAACG